UGGCGGCAGGCUUAACACAUGCAAGUCGAGCGGUAGCAGAUCUAGCUUGCUAGAUGCUGACGAGCGGCGGACGGGUGAGUAACGCGUAGGAACCUGCCCAGUAGUGGGGGAUAGCCCGGGGAAACUCGGAUUAAUACCGCAUACGCUCUACGGAGGAAAGAGGGGGCUUCGGCUCUCGCUAUUGGAUGGGCCUGCGUGAGAUUAGCUAGUUGGUGAGGUAAUGGCUCACCAAGGCGGCGAUCUCUAGCUGGUCUGAGAGGAUGAUCAGCCACACUGGGACUGAGACACGGCCCAGACUCCUACGGGAGGCAGCAGUGGGGAAUAUUGCACAAUGGGCGCAAGCCUGAUGCAGCCAUGCCGCGUGUGUGAAGAAGGCUUUCGGGUUGUAAAGCACUUUCAGUGGGGAGGAAGGCCUCGUAGUUAAUAGCUGCGAGGAUUGACGUUACCCACAGAAGAAGCACCGGCUAACUCCGUG
This 475-nucleotide ribosomal RNA is filed under the name uncultured bacterium. RNAcentral describes it as "bacterial SSU rRNA". It matches the Rfam family "Bacterial small subunit ribosomal RNA", at positions 37 to 507 of the family's 1533-position model. The record is from RNAcentral.